This 226-nucleotide ribosomal RNA is filed under the name uncultured bacterium. RNAcentral's name for it is "partial 16S ribosomal RNA". It matches the Rfam family "Bacterial small subunit ribosomal RNA", at positions 28 to 224 of the family's 1533-position model. The record is from RNAcentral.
GACGAACGCUGGCGGCGUGCCUAAUACAUGCAAGCCGAACGAACUCUGGUAUUGAUUGGUGCUUGCAUCAUGAUUUACAUUUGAGUGAGUGGCGAACUGGUGAGUAACACGUGGGAAACCUGCCCAGAAGCGGGGGGAUAACACCUGGAAACAGGAUGCUAAUACCGCAUAACAACUUGGACCGCAUGGUCCGAGUUUGAAAGAUGGCUUCGGCUGUCACUUUUGG